GAGGCAGCAGGGUCAGACUGGAGUCACACAGGCUUUCCUCACAGAGAAGCCAUUUUUAGUUGCCUCAGGUUUACUGCUGGGUUUUUGUUUUUGUUUUGUUUUUUCAACAUGUGGGAUGGAGGCAUGAGUGCUUUGGGCAUCAGACUAAGAGUUUAGAGUGAGGUGAGAGAUGAGACCCAGCUCAGCCUGCUGUUAAGGGUUUCCAGUACAAAUAGCAGUGAAUGAACCAUGGAAGAAUCCUACCAGAUUAUUAAGAUGAAAUAACAGCGACACCGUUAUUACUGCAGCGGCAUGGUGAACUGAAUGCAGUAACACCGACAGUAAGAGCAUGAAUGGUUGGAUUGAUCACUGUCAGCAAUCAUUGUCCUAUGAUGGAUUUGUGAAUGUUUUUAUCGUGAAACACUUCUUAAGUUGGUUACAACAUGGGUUUUGGGAGAAAGAAUUACCACAUUUGACACAGUUCUAUGCUAUUCUAUAUCCCCCCUCCACACAGGCAAAAUACACAAAAUGGCUAUAACUAGAAACCUUGCCAUUUUGACCAACAAGUCCUAACCUAAAGUUAUUCCUAGUCACUUAUUGGGCAAACAGCAUGAGCAUCACAUCUUGUAGAGAAGUAAAGGUUGUGGCAGUGACAGGCAAAAGGACAUUACAACAUACUAUAAAUUCCUUAAUGAUAAUUGCUAGAGCAACCAGAAUUAAGAAUUAUAAAUUCCACAAUGGUAUGCCCUCUAUAGCAGUACUGAUAGGCCAUUACCAAAUAUUACUCCUAGUAUUUCUCCUAUUACUUCCAAUAAUCUUAUGUUUCUUUGUGUUCUCCCAUUACUUUUGUUUUACAAAAACAUUGCCCACUUUUUGGCCACUGUACAUUCUC
Molecule: long non-coding RNA, 871 nt
Organism: Xiphias gladius (swordfish)
Lineage: Eukaryota; Metazoa; Chordata; Actinopteri; Istiophoriformes; Xiphiidae
Exons: 3
Source: RefSeq, a predicted model, not a curated record